RNAcentral lists this ribosomal RNA (577 nucleotides) under uncultured bacterium. RNAcentral's name for it is "bacterial SSU rRNA". It matches the Rfam family "Bacterial small subunit ribosomal RNA", at positions 111 to 722 of the family's 1533-position model. The record is from RNAcentral.
UAACGCGUGGAAACCUACCAUUCUGUACGGAAUAACGAUUGGAAACGAUCGCUAAUACCGUAUACGCCCUGUGGGGGAAAGGUCCGCCGCAGAAUGAGGGGUCCGCGUCCGAUUAGCUUGUUGGUGGGGUAAAAGCCUACCAAGGCGAUGAUCGGUAGCUGGUCUGAGAGGAUGAUCAGCCACACUGGGACUGAGACACGGCCCAGACUCCUACGGGAGGCAGCAGUGGGGAAUAUUGGACAAUGGGGGCAACCCUGAUCCAGCAAUGCCGCGUGUGUGAAGAAGGCCUUAGGGUUGUAAAGCACUUUCAAUGGUGAAGAUGAUGACGGUAGCCGUAGAAGAAGCCCCGGCUAACUUCGUGCCAGCAGCCGCGGUAAUACGAAGGGGGCGAGCGUUGUUCGGAAUUACUGGGGCGUAAAGGGCGCGCAGGCGGCCAAUCCAGUCAGGUGUGAAGGCCCCGGGCUUAACCUGGGAACUGCACUUGAUACUGAUUGGCUAGAAAACGGAAGAGGGCAGUGGAAUUCCCAGUGUAGAGGUGAAAUUCGUAGAUAUUGGGAAGAACACCAGUGGCGAAAGC